UUCCCCUAGUAACUGCGAGUGAAGCGGGAAAAGCUCAAAUUUAAAAUCUGGCAGUCUUUGAUUGUCCGAGUUGUAAUCUAGAGAAGUGUUAUCCGCGUUGGACCGUGUACAAGUCUCCUGGAAUGGAGCGUCAUAGAGGGUGAGAAUCCCGUCUUUGACACGGACUACCAGUGCUUUGUGAUGCGCUCUCAAAGAGUCGAGUUGUUUGGGAAUGCAGCUCAAAAUGGGUGGUAAAUUCCAUCUAAAGCUAAAUAUUGGCGAGAGACCGAUAGCGAACAAGUACCGUGAGGGAAAGAUGAAAAGAACUUUGGAAAGAGAGUUAAACAGUACGUGAAAUUGCUGAAAGGGAAACGCUUGAAGUCAGUCGCGUUGUCCGGGGAUCAACCUUGCUUUUGCUGGGUGUACUUUCCGGUUGACGGGUCAGCAUCAAUUUUGACCGUUGGAUAAAGGGUAAGGGAAUGUGGCAUCUUCGGAUGUGUUAUAGCCCUUGCUCGCAUACAACGAUUGGGAUUGAGGAACUCAGUACGNNGCAAGGCCGGG
This 540-nucleotide ribosomal RNA is filed under the name Deconica xeroderma. Its description in RNAcentral is "eukaryotic LSU rRNA". It matches the Rfam family "Eukaryotic large subunit ribosomal RNA", at positions 75 to 615 of the family's 3401-position model. Lineage: Eukaryota; Fungi; Basidiomycota; Agaricomycetes; Agaricales; Kuehneromycetaceae. The record is from RNAcentral.